UGAUAGACGCCAAUUUGGGUAG
Molecule: non-coding RNA, 22 nt
Filed under: Rattus norvegicus (Norway rat)
Lineage: Eukaryota; Metazoa; Chordata; Mammalia; Rodentia; Muridae
Gene: rno-miR-463-3p
Source: miRBase by way of RNAcentral